UCCAGCCUACGGGGGGCAGCAGUGAGGAAUAUUGGUCAAUGGGCGGGAGCCUGAACCAGCCACGUCGCGUGAAGGAAGAAGGUACUUAGUAUUGUAAACUUCUUUUGUCGGGGAACAAAGGCGGAGACGCGUCUCCGGAUGAGUGUACCCGAAGAAAAAGCAUCGGCUAACUCCGUGCCAGCAGCCGCGGUAAUACGGAGGAUGCGAGCGUUAUCCGGAUUUAUUGGGUUUAAAGGGUGCGCAGGCGGGAGGUCAAGUCAGCGGUAAAAUGCGGGGGCUCAACCCCG
This 287-nucleotide ribosomal RNA is filed under the name uncultured bacterium. RNAcentral describes it as "partial 16S ribosomal RNA". It matches the Rfam family "Bacterial small subunit ribosomal RNA", at positions 330 to 617 of the family's 1533-position model. The record is from RNAcentral.